Molecule: long non-coding RNA, 2787 nt
Filed under: Vigna radiata
Lineage: Eukaryota; Viridiplantae; Streptophyta; Magnoliopsida; Fabales; Fabaceae
Description: long non-coding RNA (VRAD_LNC000907)
Source: RNAcentral
CAAAACCCAACAUGGGGUUUCCAAUGGCCUCUCUUACUCUUACUACUCUUGCAUUAACCUUAAUCUCCCUCACCUUCUCAUCUCACACAUUGGCUGACAACUACAUCUACUCAUCUCCUCCACCACCACCAAAGCCUUACUACUACCAUUCUCCUCCACCACCACCACCAAAGCAUUCUCCUCCUCCUCCAUAUUACUACCAUUCUCCACCUCCACCAAAACAUUCACCUCCUCCUCCCUAUUACUACCACUCUCCUCCACCACCAAAGCAUUCUCCUCCUCCCCCAUAUUACUACCACUCUCCACCUCCACCAAAGCAUUCUCCUCCUCCACCCUACUACUACCACUCUCCUCCACCACCAAAGCACUCACCUCCUCCUCCAUAUUACUACCAUUCUCCACCACCACCAAAACACUCUCCUCCUCCUCCCUAUUACUACCACUCUCCACCUCCACCAAAGCACNUAUUACUACCAUUCUCCACCACCACCAAAACACUCUCCUCCUCCUCCCUAUUACUACCACUCUCCACCUCCACCAAAGCACUCUCCUCCUCCUCCCUAUUAUUACCACUCUCCUCCACCACCUAAGCACUCACCUCCUCCACCCUACUACUACCACUCUCCUCCACCACCAAAACACUCACCUCCUCCACCUUACUACUACCACUCUCCACCACCACCAAAGAACCCACCAUACAAGUACUCAUCUCCUCCACCACCAGUUUACAAGUACAAGUCCCCUCCUCCUCCCUACAAGUACCCAUCUCCUCCUCCUCCACCGUACAAGUACCCCUCUCCACCACCGCCAGUUUACAAGUAUAAAUCUCCUCCACCCCCAGUUUACAAAUACAAGUCUCCUCCUCCUCCUUACAAGUACCCAUCUCCUCCACCACCACCAUACAAGUACCCUUCUCCUCCACCACCAGUAUAUAAAUACAAGUCUCCUCCUCCUCCAGUUUACAAGUACAAGUCCCCCCCUCCUCCCUACAAAUACCCAUCUCCUCCACCUCCCCCAUACAAAUACCCUUCUCCUCCACCACCGGUUUAUAAGUACAAGUCUCCACCACCACCGGUUUACAAGUACAAGUCUCCACCACCACCGGUUUAUAAGUACAAGUCUCCACCACCACCGGUUUACAAGUACAAGUCUCCACCACCACCGGUUUAUAAAUACAAGUCUCCACCACCACCGGUUUACAAGUAUAAGUCUCCACCACCACCGGUUUACAAAUAUAAGUCUCCACCACCACCCUACAAGUAUCCUUCUCCACCACCCCCAGUCUACAAAUACAAGUCACCUCCACCACCAGUUUACAAGUAUAAGUCACCACCACCACCCUACAAAUACCCAUCUCCUCCACCGCCACCCUACAAGUACCCAUCUCCACCACCCCCGGUUUACAAAUACAAAUCCCCUCCACCCCCAGUUUACAAGUAUAAGUCUCCCCCUCCUCCUGUUCAUUCACCACCUCCACCACACUACAUCUACGCAUCCCCGCCUCCUCCAUAUCACUACUAGAUAGUGCUUUUGCAUAGUGUUGUUCCUCGUGGUAAUCUUCUACACAAAACCUACAUUAUCGUAAUAAUCAUGUAAUUAAUAUUUACGUUAAAACUCUCUUUACAUGCAAUCACGUGCAAUCUAUUAGGGUAAUGUUCUGCCUAAGUUGCAGUUUACAAAGUUAUCCGCAGUAUUUGACGUUAACACUCUUUUUUGUUUCGAUCGAACAGUACUUUCAUUUUCUUUUUUAAAUUUCAAAAUUUUAAAUUUUGACUGUUGACCAUAGUAAUCAUGGUUUCAACUUCCAUUUUUUUUAAUUAAAUUUUUGAGAAGUUUAAGGCAAUUUUUUUGUUUAUUUCAUGUUUAUUAGAAACAAAUUAUGCAUAUUCUUUUAAGCGUACUUUUAUUAUUCUUAAAAGAUGUUAAUCUUUUAUCUUUUUCAAAGCUUUGAUCGCCGACCUACCUUUCAAAGGUAUACCACCUCCACAGUACUACAAUUUCUUACUCGAAUUUAACACCGUAUACAGUAUCGUAUGUUUUUUACUUACAUGUAACAUUUUGCGUAUAUAGUUAUAAAUAGUCAGUCUAUCAACACUUCUCAUUUUUUUUUUCUCACACAUAAUAUUAUUAAUUAUAUUAGAUACAUAUUUCUCUUUCCUUAGAUAACUAAAGAGUGUUGGAGUUUUUUUUUUCUUCGUGUACAUACAUAUUUUAAGGAUAAAAAUCCAAAACCAAAGGGGAAAAAAAGUAUAUUAAUAAUCUAAAUAACAACCAUUUUACCUGCAUUACUAUAUGAGGGAGAAAUAUUUCCUCAUAUUUGAUGACAUUAUUGUGGGAAUAACUAGUGAAAGGGACUGUAGACUAUUAUGUUAACCAUGUGCAUGUACUUUGUAGGUUAUUUAUGAAGAAUAUGUGCCAAUAAAGAACGUUGUUGAUAGAAAGAAGAUGCAUUUUGCAUUCCCACAAGGAAAACAACGGAAGCAAAGUUUCCGAGCGUUUUGUCUCAUAAGAAGAAAGACGUGUGUCAAUCCUUUUCUUUUUCGUUUGUAUUGUUCAUCCAUUAUUAUUGUAUUUUUAUACAGUUGUAAGGCACUUCUUUGCUUUCUCUAAUUGAACAUCACAAGAAUGCAUUUUGAUUGUGACGCAAAUUUAAUAAUAAAUAAAAAAUAAUGCUUUCUCCCUUGCUCUUUGUAUAUUUUUUAGACCAAUUCUAAAAUAUAUUUUUAGUGUUUUCAAUAAUACUAGUUUGAUUUACAGAUAAUAAAUUGGUAGUUUAUAUUUAAUCCA